Long non-coding RNA from Cydia strobilella, 214 nucleotides. RefSeq lists it as uncharacterized. The record is from RefSeq and is a predicted model, not a curated record. The transcript is spliced from 2 exons. Lineage: Eukaryota; Metazoa; Arthropoda; Insecta; Lepidoptera; Tortricidae.
CUCGGAUGAAUAACUAAUUGAUGACAAUACAUGAAGCCGAUAUUUGCUAAACCAGUUUAAUAACGCUUGUGAGCCGUCAAGGAAAACACGCAACCAAUAAUAACAAUGCGCUGGCUGUUCGUACUGGUAGUGGCGAUGACGCUAGCCACCGCUCUUACGCAUCCCGCCCCCGGAGCCUACGCAAUAAAUACCCAAGGAAGACUAACUCAAGAAA